UGGGGAAUAUUGCGCAAUGGCCGAAAGGCUGACGCAGCGACGCCGCGUGGGGGAUGAAGCAUUUCGGUGUGUAAACCCCUGUUGCUCGGGACGAACAACCUCUUUAGAGAGGUCUGACGGUACCGGGUGAGGAAGCACCGGCUAACUCCGUGCCAGCAGCCGCGGUAAUACGGAGGGUGCGAGCGUUGUCCGGAAUCACUGGGCGUAAAGGGCGCGUAGGCGGUCUGCUAAGCGUGCGGUGAAAGCCUGGGGCUCAACCCCAGGUCUGCCGUGCGAACUGGUGGACUAGAGCACUGUAGAGGCAGGUGGAAUUCCGGGUGUAGCGGUGGAAUGCGUAGAGAUCCGGAAGAACACCGGUGGCGAAGGCGGCCUGCUGGGCAGUUGCUGACGCUGAGGCGCGACAGCGUGGGGAGCAAACAGG
RNAcentral lists this ribosomal RNA (421 nucleotides) under uncultured bacterium. RNAcentral's name for it is "bacterial SSU rRNA". It matches the Rfam family "Bacterial small subunit ribosomal RNA", at positions 355 to 776 of the family's 1533-position model. The record is from RNAcentral.